This 253-nucleotide ribosomal RNA is filed under the name uncultured bacterium. RNAcentral describes it as "partial 16S ribosomal RNA". It matches the Rfam family "Bacterial small subunit ribosomal RNA", at positions 524 to 776 of the family's 1533-position model. The record is from RNAcentral.
UACGUAGGGUGCAAGCGUUGUCCGGAAUUAUUGGGCGUAAAGAGCUCGUAGGCGGUCUGUCGCGUCGGCUGUGAAACCCCGAGGCUCAACCUCGGGCCUGCAGUCGAUACGGGCAGACUAGAGUUCGGUAGGGGAGACUGGAAUUCCUGGUGUAGCGGUGAAAUGCGCAGAUAUCAGGAGGAACACCGGUGGCGAAGGCGGGUCUCUGGGCCGAAACUGACGCUGAGGAGCGAAAGCGUGGGGAGCGAACAGG